Molecule: long non-coding RNA, 948 nt
Organism: Arabidopsis lyrata subsp. lyrata
Lineage: Eukaryota; Viridiplantae; Streptophyta; Magnoliopsida; Brassicales; Brassicaceae
Exons: 2
Source: RefSeq, a predicted model, not a curated record
AGUAAUAAACGAGAUCUCAAAGGAAGUUAAAAAUAUCUCCCUUUAUAAACGAGCCCAAAUUUAGGCAAAUACGGACUGAUUAUAAGGGAAGUUACUCGUCGGAUUAACUAACAAAUGGCCUAAGCCGAACUGGAAGUAAUCUUGGACGAGCUGUGGAUCGACGUACAGUGGGUUCGGCGAAUUCAUGUCUUUAGCUGGAGAUUGAUUUAUACUCUUUCUCUCUUUGUCAGUGGAAAUUGCGGAUCUCCGUAUUUACGAGGUACUUUGUCGAUUCUCACCCUAUGUCAAAUGUCAGGAAUACCCCUCCUCUUCUUGAUAACGUGGCUCGUCGACGGGCCACAUCUUUUGCUCUUCUUGGGCUUUUAUUGAACAGGGUCGGGCCUUUUAAGAGGGGGAUGAGCCUACCCUGAUGAGCCUCUUUAUAUAUGACUACUCUUUAUGUCACUAUCGUGAGCUCGGAAUCACAAUGCCGGAAUUUCGAGUCGAUCAUAAGUUUUGGCACUCGAUUACCGACACCCGGAAACUUGCUCGGUCUCUCGAAUCGCAACGACGAUCUUCCUGAGACCGUGUUUCCACCGUAUGGAGAAACUUUCUUCCACCAUCCAACCGGCGGUUCCUUGGACGACCGCAUCAUCAUCGACUUUAUAGAAUCCGAAAAAAAAAAGGCUCUGAUAAUUGUGUUUGAAUCUAUGUGAGAAGAAACGAAGGAAUUAUUAAUCAACUACAGUCACUUUCUUCGUUUUCCUUGAUCUGCAAAGUCAACAGUAUGAGACCUUUAGUGAUCCUCCAAUUUGUCUUCUUACCGCAACAUCAGUUUAGGUAUUCAGCUAAAGAGCUUCAAUGAGAGCUUACCAAAUCUAUGUGGCUCGCAAUAAUGUAUUUUCAGUGAAUGGAGCUCAUUUGUAUUUGUUUUUAGACCGUAGAGAUAUGAUUAAAAUGCUUUGAUUC